RNAcentral lists this ribosomal RNA (424 nucleotides) under Verrucomicrobiota bacterium. RNAcentral's name for it is "Verrucomicrobia bacterium partial 16S ribosomal RNA". It matches the Rfam family "Bacterial small subunit ribosomal RNA", at positions 355 to 776 of the family's 1533-position model. The record is from RNAcentral. Lineage: Bacteria; Pseudomonadati; Verrucomicrobiota.
UGAGGAAUAUUGGUCAAUGGACGCAAGUCUGAACCAGCCAAGUAGCGUGCAGGAUGACGGCCCUAUGGGUUGUAAACUGCUUUUAUAUGGGGAUAAAGUGGUGAACGUGUUCCCUUUUGCAGGUACCAUAUGAAUAAGGACCGGCUAAUUCCGUGCCAGCAGCCGCGGUAAUACGGAAGGUUCGGGCGUUAUCUGGAUUUAUUGGGUUUAAAGGGAGCGUAGGCCGUUUGGUAAGCGUGUUGUGAAAUGUAGGAGCUCAACUUCUAGAUUGCAGCGCGAACUGUCAGACUUGAGUGCGCACAACGUAGGCGGAAUUCAUGGUGUAGCGGUGAAAUGCUUAGAUAUCAUGAAGAACUCCGAUUGCGAAGGCGGCUUACGGGAGCGCAACUGACGCUGAAGCUCGAAGGUGCGGGUAUCGAACAGG